Molecule: transfer RNA, 64 nt
Filed under: Dipodomys ordii (Ord's kangaroo rat)
Lineage: Eukaryota; Metazoa; Chordata; Mammalia; Rodentia; Heteromyidae
Rfam family: tRNA
About the family: Transfer RNA (tRNA) molecules are approximately 80 nucleotides in length. Their secondary structure includes four short double-helical elements and three loops (D, anti-codon, and T loops).
Source: Rfam by way of RNAcentral
GGGAAGUUGGCUCAGUGGUAGAGCACUUGCCUUGCAUGCAUGAGGUCCUGGGUUGGAUUCCUCA